This 497-nucleotide ribosomal RNA is filed under the name uncultured bacterium. RNAcentral's name for it is "partial 16S ribosomal RNA". It matches the Rfam family "Bacterial small subunit ribosomal RNA", at positions 28 to 507 of the family's 1533-position model. The record is from RNAcentral.
GAUGAACGCUGGCGGCGUGCCUAAUACAUGCAAGUCGAGCGAACGGACGAGAAGCUUGCGUCUCUGAUGUUAGCGGCGGACGGGUGAGUAACACGUGGAUAACCUACCUAUAAGACUGGGAAAACUUGGGGAAACCGGCGCUAAUACGGGAGAAUAUUUUGAACCGCAGGGGUCAAAAGUGAAAGACGGUGGUGCGGUCAGUUAUAGAUGGAUCCGCGCUGGAUUAGCUAGUUGGUAAGGUAACGGGUUACCAAGGCAACGAUGCAUGGCCGACCUCAGAGGCUGAUCGGCCACCCUGGAGCUUAGCCACCGUCCAUACUCCUGAGGGACGCAGCAGUCGGCUACCUUCCGCAAUGGGCGAAAGCCUUGCGGAGCAACGCCGCGUCAGUUAUGACGGUCUUCCGAUCGUAAUACUCUCUUACUAGUGAAGAACAUCUGUCUAAUUAACUGUGCCCAUCUUGACGGUACCUAAUCAGAAAGCCCCGGCUAACUACGUG